ACAUCUUCCUCCUGCUGCAACACCUUCUUCAUCAUCAGGCCAGAUUCUCCAACAGAUUCAGAUCAGGAAUCCAGUUGGGUUGCUCCAAAACAUAAAUAUUACUUCCAGAAGAUUACUUUGAACAUAAAUCUAAAUAUACACUAUUUACCUCCCUGAUCAAAUGUACCUAUUAAAAUUUUACUAUUACAGUGCAUUAUUAUAGACAACAUGGACAUUGUAUGGAUACUGCAUGAACACAAGAACUGCAGAACACAAUAUGUCCAAGUGAGCUAAAAAGCAGACAGAACAUUAAUAUUUUUCAGCAAUUAAAUGUCAAUGCCUCUGUGAUUUUUCAACUUGUCUUCAUUUAAUCUUGAUAGCUUUUACCUUUUUUUAUUUUAUCAGCAAUAAAAUUUUAUUUUCUAUUCAUCUGGAUCUUUUUAAAUGCCAUAAUAUUCUGUUAGUUCUGAAUUCUAAUGUUUUAUUGUUUAUUUACAUCUUUGGAGUUUUCUUACUGCAAAUUACAACUACAUUUCCUUAAUUUUACAUUUUAUAUCACAUUUCAAGAAGCAGACAUUUAGGCUUUCAAUACUGAUCAUAUCUUUGGCCUGCUGGAUGGAUUCCAGUAGCCUUUAAUGCUUUCACUCGAUGUUUAUCUGGAGUGGCUGAGAUGCUAAAGUUCACACAGAAUGGUCGGGACAUUGUGUGAUUGUAAAGACAGAAAAUGUCAGGAAAAUAAAGAUUAUAAUUGAUGUUGCAAUUUUAACAAUAGUAUCACAAUUAGGUAUUUUUUUCUUACAGAAUGCAACCCUGUCUGAGUGAUUAUUAUUUUACUGAAUCUGAUCUAAUUGUUUUUAUCCUCAAUAGAGCACUUUGUGUCAUAAUUAUCGGUAUGAAAAGUCCUUUAUAAAUAAACUGUAAUCAACUAAUUUCUGGAUCUCUGGUGUGUAUAUCACUAUAUAUUUCAUUGCUUCUGUGGCUCCUAAACUUUGAUCUCUGUAUUAACAAGUGAGUGUAUCUGUAUCCACCUAUUUACAGCUUAUAAACUUUAUGGACUUUGCCUCAGUGUUUGUUGUUCUAAUGCAAACCUCCAGCCUGAAAACAAAACCUCGACACUUGCUCUCACAGUUCCCAGUUUCUUUAGCUGUUACACAGAUUAUAUCAAAACAUUGUAUAACCACAAGACAUUACUUGGUAUUUUCUCGAAAUAUAGUGUAACGAUUCUGUGUUUUAGUUCUGCUGGGGUUCAUAUGGUUAUUUGUGUUUGUUAUAAGUUGCAUUGUGAUCCUUUCUGUUAGAGAGUUAUGGGCUUCCCCUGUCUGACUCUCCUGGCUCCCACUCACAUGUGAUAGGCCUGUCAUGUGGGCGGGGGAUCGGGGGAGCGGGAGUACCAGGACCGGAUGUGGGAGAGAGUUCAGAGGGGAGUUAGCAAUGAAGCUAAUGGUUGAUUGUGCCCGUUUGUUAGAGGCGUGAGCUGCAGCCUCAGAAAUAGCAGCUUGUACCUAUUUCUAAUAAACCCUGUUUGGCGGGA
Long non-coding RNA from Xiphophorus maculatus (southern platyfish), 1510 nucleotides. RefSeq lists it as uncharacterized. NCBI's taxonomy places the organism in Eukaryota, Metazoa, Chordata, Actinopteri, Cyprinodontiformes, Poeciliidae. The transcript has 2 exons. The record is from RefSeq and is a predicted model, not a curated record.